UUUUCUCUCUCUCCAUGGCGGAUGUUCAUCAUGGAGGAGCACAAGGCAUCAAGCUAUUUGGCACAACAAUUGCAGUACAAAUCAAACAACACAAAAUGAUCAUCCAAACAAAGCUGAUGAUCAUCAUCAUCCUGAUCAAACAAUAGCAGACAAGAGACCAGACAAGAUCAUACCAUGUCCUAGGUGCAAAUCCAUGGAGAACAGAGGGAGUGCUAGGUUGGCAAAUGUGUUGCGAUAGUCCUCUACUUUGUGUCCUCCAUCUUGAACCCUCUCUCUCUCUCUUCUAAACAACCCUUGUCCUGUACAUACAAUACAAUACACGACAUCUAUCUGUAUAUGUUCAUCUCUGCGACACCACGCACGAAAAGACCGAGUUUUGGAAUCCAAACGCGACGAACAUGAAAUUCUGGAAGCAUCUCUGCGAACUCAUCGAUCAAACCUUUCCUGAAUGACGAGACAAGUUCUUGACCUACAAGGAUCUCAAGAAGCAGUUGCGUCUGAUCUACCCCAAAGAUGGCGAGACUAGUUGUACUCCUAGUAGCGUCGUUAAACGCCGCAAAUUGACCGACGACGGCGGAGCGGAGUGGCGGCCUUCGCUCUGUUCGAUCUCCGAGGACGCCGUGACGCCGGAGAGAGACCACCGGACUCUCAAUGACUCUGAAAGGUUGGUAAAGAGGAAGGUCAGAUCCACCGCCACCGCCAGAGUUCACGUCCGGAGCUACAGCGGCGAUUUGGGGCGGAGUGGGUUUCCGGUGAUGCCAGCUUUCUCUCCAGCUCCAUUCUUUUUCUGAUAGAAGAGAUCCAAUGGGCUUUCUUCUUUCUUCUGUUAUUGUAUUUGAUAUGUAUAUGUGUGUAUGUGUGUAUAUUAUAGUGAAUAAUGAGUAUUGUAUAUUUUGGUAAAUAAGUAAAUGUAAUUAAUCCCUCGACCUUUGUUGUUGACAAUAGAGAAUUGUUCAUAUAAGUGAGAUCUAGGUCUGGACUUUAAUGAAUGAGAUCUUCGUUUUUCUUUUCUUUUUAAAGUUAAA
Camellia sinensis is the source of this 1025-nucleotide long non-coding RNA. RefSeq lists it as uncharacterized. NCBI's taxonomy places the organism in Eukaryota, Viridiplantae, Streptophyta, Magnoliopsida, Ericales, Theaceae. The record is from RefSeq and is a predicted model, not a curated record.